RNAcentral lists this ribosomal RNA (253 nucleotides) under uncultured bacterium. RNAcentral's name for it is "partial 16S ribosomal RNA". It matches the Rfam family "Bacterial small subunit ribosomal RNA", at positions 524 to 776 of the family's 1533-position model. The record is from RNAcentral.
UACGUAGGCAGCGAGCGUUGUUCGGAGUUACUGGGCGUAAAGCGUGCGUAGGCGGUGUUCCGAGUCUGUUGUGAAAUCUCCCGGCUUAACUGGGAGGGUGCGGCGGAAACUGGAACGCUGGAGUAUGGGAGAGGUAAGCGGAAUUCCUGGUGUAGCGGUGAAAUGCGUAGAUAUCAGGAGGAACACCUGCGGUGUAGACGGCUUACUGGACCAUAACUGACGCUGAGGCACGAAAGCGUGGGUAGCAAACAGG